RNAcentral lists this ribosomal RNA (298 nucleotides) under Sphaeronectes haddocki. RNAcentral's name for it is "partial 16S ribosomal RNA". Lineage: Eukaryota; Metazoa; Cnidaria; Hydrozoa; Siphonophorae; Sphaeronectidae. The record is from RNAcentral.
GAAGUGUUGAAUGGUGUCACCAAUCAAACACUAUAUUAUCUUUUCUAUUGAUAAAUUAUAUUAUGAGUGAAGAUACUCAUUAAAAUAGAAAGACAAAAAGACCCCAUGAAGCUUUACUCUAUAAUCAUUAUUGAUUGAUUUAUUGAUAAUUUUGGGGAGUUUAGGUGGGGUGCCUUCUUAUUAUUAAAAACAUAAGAUAUAAUAAAAAAAAAUAUAAAAUAAAAACUUGAGAAAAUAAAAUUUUAAAAGAUAAAAUAUUAUUAUGAGUGACCAGGUGAAAGAACCUAAAAAUGAUAAA